This 465-nucleotide ribosomal RNA is filed under the name Treponema sp. canine oral taxon 201. RNAcentral's name for it is "bacterial SSU rRNA". It matches the Rfam family "Bacterial small subunit ribosomal RNA", at positions 9 to 464 of the family's 1533-position model. Lineage: Bacteria; Pseudomonadati; Spirochaetota; Spirochaetia; Treponematales; Treponemataceae. The record is from RNAcentral.
GAGUUUGAUUAUGGCUCAGAACGAACGCUGGCGGUGCGUUUUAAGCAUGCAAGUCGAACGGUAAAAAGAGAGCUUGCUCUCUUUGAGAGUGGCGGACUGGUGAGUAACGCGUGGAUGAUCUACCUUUGAGAUGGGGAUAGCUUCUAGAAAUAGGAGAUAAUACCGAAUAACCUUGUUGUGUUUUGAUGUAACAAGAAAAGGGGCGUCAGCUCCGCUCGAAGAUGAGUCUGCGUCCCAUUAGCUAGUUGGUAGGGUAAAGGCUUACCAAGGCGACGAUGGGUACCCGGCCUGAGAGGGUGAACGGACACAUUGGGACUGAGAUACGGCCCAAACUCCUACGGGAGGCAGCAGCUGAGAAUCUUCCGCAAUGGACGAAAGUCUGACGGAGCGACACCGCGUGAACGAUGAAGGCCGGAAGGUUGUAAAGUUCUUUUGCAGACAAAGAAUAAGGAUAGAAGGAAAUGA